RNA transcript from Haliotis rufescens (red abalone), 1435 nucleotides. RefSeq lists it as uncharacterized. The transcript is spliced from 5 exons. The record is from RefSeq and is a predicted model, not a curated record. NCBI's taxonomy places the organism in Eukaryota, Metazoa, Mollusca, Gastropoda, Lepetellida, Haliotidae.
UUUGCAGUGUUGCAUGACCGCUUGGCCAUUGUUUAUUUCCAAAACGUAUAUCUGGUUAUACUGGCGUGUAUGCCAACCAGUUGCUUUGGAACAAUAAACUGAAUCCAUCAUUGACCUUUGUGAUGGACGGGGCUGCACGAUGAACGAGACAAGUCGGACACGCCGAUCAAUAAGUCAGUGUUUACAAGGGGUUUUCCACGAUCUAUUAAUACGUCCUUGCAUGUGUUAAACAUGAGUGAAGCAGCCUACCAACUGUUGUCACUUGGCGACAUGUUAUUCAUGGGGACCCACUUCACAACGGCUCCCACCACAAGCACAGUAAACCUUUUACGAGGGCACGCCGAAUUCCGGAUCAGUCAACUCAAGUAGGACACAGAGCCAGUCAUGUACCGUCAUUGAAUUGUGUUUGCGUAGGUGGAAAUAUAGGUAGGUGCUGGACCAUGUGACUCGGGAGUUCCCCUCAUAUCUGAGGUGUCCGAUCAUUGUGUUACAGGAGGGCCCUGAUCAGCCAUGUUGGCAGUACAACGUGUCCGGCUGUGUAACUAUAUAGUAUCGAUCGUUCUGGUGACGGCAGUAUGUGUGGCGUCACCGGUCCUGCCUCUGAGACACAUUACCACAUCCCCCUCAACAACCACAGCACCGAUCUCUACAGAACAUUCCACACUCAUGGCUAACGACAAUACGACAAUGGGUGAUACAUCCUGUUCUGAAGGAGGCAGCUGCUCUCUAAAUAAAGCAGAUCUGGCCAAAACAGUAGUGCUGAGGUUGACAAUCGUUGCUGCCUGUAUACUUGUCUUCGUGGGUCUUGUGAAACUCUCAGUCGUUAUGAAUAGAUGCUGCAGUUGUGACUUCAAGCGAAAACACACGGUGACCUUCACCCGGAUAUGACCCGAGUAAACCGAGGUCACACCAUCAUACAGAGAAGCGGACCAAAUCAGGGACUGAUGAUAUAUGCCGUAUGUGCGUUGCAAAUGGGUGCACACACUUCUCCUAUAUAAUGUUUUAGUUGGUGCAAAAAUGUUGUUGUAAUAUUAAAUUAUUAAUAAUCGAGUAAACGAGCAAUUUAUUGAUGUGAAUGUGUUAUAUGUGUGCCAAGAUAUGUUCAAAGACACAUGUGUACUGCUAGAAUCUGAAAUAUGUAAUUUAUACAUAUGUUGCUGUCUUUGCCAGAGAGUAAGUGUCCUGAUGGAACUGAGACUGUUGAUUUAUUAUACAACACUUAUAGAGCGAACAUGGUUCAAUCUCGGUGACCUUGUUUAGUCACCGGACCAGGUUAGUGUGGAGAUUACGAUGUGCACGUGACAUAACACUGUCACACGUCACCACCUUAACAUGGUCAUCAGAAGGUUUUAAUGUGAUAAUGACUUAAACCUAUGGAUGUUUGAAUGUGUAUAUCUGUUGAAUUUCUGAAGUGCAAUAAACGAUUGUUAAUUAA